GGUUGUGUAGUGUAGCGGUUAGCACGUGGGAUUUUGAUCACAUAAAUCUUCCUGAGACCCCGGUUCGAGCCCGGGCACGACCU
This is a transfer RNA of Microdochium bolleyi, 83 nucleotides long. It matches the Rfam family "tRNA". From Rfam's summary of the family: Transfer RNA (tRNA) molecules are approximately 80 nucleotides in length. Their secondary structure includes four short double-helical elements and three loops (D, anti-codon, and T loops). The record is from Rfam. Lineage: Eukaryota; Fungi; Ascomycota; Sordariomycetes; Xylariales; Microdochiaceae.